RNAcentral lists this ribosomal RNA (497 nucleotides) under uncultured bacterium. RNAcentral's name for it is "partial 16S ribosomal RNA". It matches the Rfam family "Bacterial small subunit ribosomal RNA", at positions 28 to 507 of the family's 1533-position model. The record is from RNAcentral.
GAUGAACGCUGGCGGCGUGCCUAAUACAUGCAAGUCGAGCGAACAGACGAGGAGCUUGCUCCUCUGACGUUAGCGGCGGACGGGUGAGUAACACGUGGAUAACCUACCUAUAAGACUGGGAUAACUUCGGGAAACCGGAGCUAAUACCGGAUAAUAUAUUGAACCGCAUGGUUCAAUAGUGAAAGACGGUUUUGCUGUCACUUAUAGAUGGAUCCGCGCCGCAUUAGCUAGUUGGUAAGGUAACGGCUUACCAAGGCAACGAUGCGUAGCCGACCUGAGAGGGUGGUCGGCCACACUGGAACUGAGACACGGUCCAGGCUCCUACGGGAGGCAGCAGUAGGGAAUCUUCCGCAAUGGGCGAAAGCCUGACGGAGCGACGCCGCGUGAGUGAUGAAGGUCUUCGGAUCGUAAAACUCUGUUAUUAGGGAAGAACAAAUGUGUAAGUAACUAUGCACGUCUUGACGGUACCUAAUCAGAAAGCCACGGCUAACUACGUG